Molecule: ribosomal RNA, 497 nt
Filed under: uncultured bacterium
Lineage: Bacteria
Description: partial 16S ribosomal RNA
Rfam family: Bacterial small subunit ribosomal RNA
Source: RNAcentral
GAUGAACGCUGGCGGCGUGCCUAAUACAUGCAAGUCGAGCGAACAGACGAGAAGCUUGCUCCUCUGACGUUAGCGGCGGACGGGUGAGUAACACGUGGAUAACCUACCUAUAAGACUGGGAUAACUUCGGGAAACCGGAGCUAAUACCGGAGAAUAUAUUGAACCGUAUCGUUCAAUAGUGAAAGACGGUUUUGCUGUCACUUAUAGAUGGAUCCGCGGCGCAUUAGCUAGUUGGUAAGGUAAAGGCUUACCAAGGCAACGAUGCGUAGCCGACCUGAGAGGGUGAUCGGCCACAUUGGAACUGAGACACGGUCCAGACUCCUACGGGAGGCAGCAGUAGGGAAUCUUCCGCAAUGGGCGAAAGCCUGACGGAGCAACGCCGCGUGAGUGAUGAAGGUCUUCGGAUCGUAAAACUCUGUUAUUAGGGAAGAACAAAUGUGUAAGUAACUAUGCACGUCUUGACGGUACCUAAUCAGAAAGCCACGGCUAACUACGUG